Gallus gallus (chicken) is the source of this 3178-nucleotide long non-coding RNA. RefSeq lists it as uncharacterized. The record is from RefSeq and is a predicted model, not a curated record. Lineage: Eukaryota; Metazoa; Chordata; Aves; Galliformes; Phasianidae. The transcript is spliced from 5 exons.
UUUCUAUUUCUUUAUGUGCUGUCUGGCCUGCGUGGAACCCAAGCCUGCAGCAAGGGCUGAGCGCAUGGCUGGCUCCUGCUGUACACCUGCAUGGCACGCAGAGCUCAUGAGCAAACAGCUUUGAAUUCAAAGCUCCUCUGUCACACAAACUGCCUUUUAGAGGCUGCUGCAAAUCUUUUUAGAGGCUGCUGCAAAUUGUCUUUCAAGUGCCACGCGUGCACCUUGGCCAGUCACACCGUUGGUUUAAAGGACACAUCUCAUUUUUGGGUUCGUGUUACGGAGGCCUCUUAAAAACAAUUCUUUAUUUUCCUUACAGAAAAGCCUGGUAAUUUAGGCUCAAAACAAACACGUUAAACGCAUUACAAACUGAAAGCAUGCUCUUUGUACUUCCACUACAGCAGCAGGCCAGCUAACCUCAUGCAUAAACACGCAGAUUGGCUAACUCUCUUGUUCUAUAAACAGGAUGCGUUGCACUGAGCGGCGGCAUGGCACCUCUGCUUCAGAAAUACAUUGAGCUUGGCAGGCCCGUGCUCAGGGCAGGGGGAAGGCGUGCACCGCACUGAGAGCAAGCAGAUGGGAUUAGACACAGUUUAAUCACUUAUGUGGGGCUGAGCCGAUUGCCAGGAUCGGAGUGGUACCUGCACAAGCCAGGGUUUGGAAGAGGCUGUCUAUGCGGCACCUGGCCUGCCCGCGCUCCAUGCAGUGUCUGCGCAUCCCUGCUGACCUCAAGGCCGUCGGUCUGUCCUUCUGUCCAUCUGUCUUCCCGUCAGCAAUGGUUGGCUGAUGCUCUGCCAUGAGGAACAUUUAGAGGCCUGAAAGUUUGCAUAAAGAGGAACUCCCAUGGAGUCCCAGACUCAAAAGAGUAAUAUUACCAUUGGUGCACAUCAGGUGAUUUCUCCAGGAUGGCACAGCUGUCUGCCAACGCCAGUGCCUCCAGCACUUGCCUGAAGCACAGCUGGCUGUACACUGAGACCCAGUGUGCACUUCCUACAGCAGAUAGAUCAGAUGCAGAACCAUUUCCUGCCUCAUCUGGAACUCAUGGCAUAGCACAAGUCAGCCAGGGAGUCCCAGUGUGCCAAGUGUCCGCCAGGAUGAAGCUGUGCUCCUGUUUCCGUGAUCGCUUCUGCAACCACAAGGUCUGGAGAAAGCACAGGCCAUGCAGUCCAUCCCUAGCUAUGCACUUGAGGAAGAUGGCAAAGUGGUGUCUGAUAGCACCAGUGCUGCUGCAAAGGAGAACAUGCUAUUGAUGGACACCUACCGUGACUGCCAUGACUGUGCUUUAGAGACAAAACUGGGAGCAGAUGCUGCUUGGCUUAUAGUCAGUUCUCCAAAGCCCGAGGAUAUCCCUUUGCAGAGACAGAAAGAGGCAUUACCCCAUUAGUGGUUCAUUACAGUUUUUGUCUACUGCAAGGCAAACAUGAAUAAAAAAAAAAACCCCUGGGAACUGUUGAGUCCUGGCCUGAACCAUUGAUUGAGCACCUGGGGAAGGAGCUGGUCAGCCCUGGGAGCACAGGUGAAGGCAAUCCAGCUGUAUGACCAGAAGGGGUGGAGCCUGGCUGCACCUCCCUUAGGCCUCAUUUAAGAGCUGACUGCCAAUGGGGAAGGAUAUCUUCCUGGAGGUCUCUCCUUGGUGAAGCUUUCCCAUGCAAACCUGGAAUCUUCUGAUGCAGGGAGACCGGAGGAAGGUUGAGCAGCAAGCACUGUGCAGACCUCCAGCAUCAACAGCACUAGGCAAACACUCCCACUUUACAGACAGAAACUUCAUGGGCCUCAUUCUGAGUCAUCUCUCCUCUCUGAAGUGGUCUGAGAGCUCCCUGAUUCUGCUUCAUCCCAUCAUCCCUUCAUUACCAAUGAUACCCAGCCUGGAACUGCCUGUGCUCCAUGCAAGAGAGACACCCUGAUGUCCACGUGGUGGCCCCAGCUGUCUGGAGACCCUGCACUGGAGGUUCUGAAAGUGCUCCUCUCCCUGCAUGGUUGGGCACGCACUCCUGGCACGUGGUUCCUUCCCUCCUUUGAGGAUCGAGCUAUACCACGGGCAAGGUGUGUUCCACAUGCCUGUACAAGCUCUCUCCAUGAUGCCCUGGCUGGGUCGCCCAACUCACUGGCCUGACUGGGGUUCGGCUCCAUUCAGCACUUUUCUUCCACGGACCUCUUGGACUUUCGUGACGCCAUUUCACCACAAAGACACAAUUCCAGGCAAGAAUUUUCAUUUCACUCCAGUUCUGUAGAGAGCCACAGGUGUCGUCCGCUCCUGGAAGGGCCCAAGAGUCUAUCAUGGGCACAUCCUCCUAUAUGGCCUGUGAUGUUUUACUGGUUGGCACCCCUCCAAGGGGCCGUAGGACACCUCCCACUAUCUCUAAUUUGCUCCACUCACAUACAGAAAAAUACUGGAAACAAGUGCCACAAAGCCUCACUUUUUACAAUAGGUCUCUCCUGUGGGAUCGCACACUUGAUCUUCAUCAUACACCGUGCACUUGACUGGAGUUUCUGCCUGUCCCACACGCCUGCCUUUAUUGCGCUUUCUCAGCCAAGUUCAAGCAAGGAACAGGAGGUCCAAUCCCAGGCCCCAGACAGCUCUGGCUUUUUAAUGCUUUCCCUAUAGGUGAUAACAAGCGAUCUCUUCCUCUCUUGGUUCUGGUUGUUUGGGUGGGUAAUUCCCAAGGCUUGACAUUCCUCUCCUCCUUUGUUUCAGCUCUCAGGACAGCUUUGCAGAUUCUCACUGCUCUACACUCGCCAGGCAGGAUGUCCUUAUUGACACCUCUGCAUAGCUACUGCACAAAAAGAAGCCUAAAACAGCAGUGCCUUGCCCAGCCCUGAGCACAACAGCCUUGAUGGAUGCCUCCUUCCCUUGUCAAGGCUUCACCGGACAGGCUGGACUGUGACGUGACCACUGCAUGUCCUCCUCAGAAAGCCCAGGGUAUGCUCAGAAUAUUUCCUAGCAUAGGAUGCCUCACAGUCUACAACAACAAAUACCAGGCAGCAAAGCACACAUUUAGGCCCACGCUGCCAGGGCAGCCGUGACUAUGGGUCAAAUCUCCAACCAGGCUUGCUCUACCAAAAUACUUCCACAGACCCAUGACAGACACCACACACGAAGGCCCUGCAAAGGGCAUGGAUUAUAUGACCAAAUCACCCUUCCCCAUUCCUACACCAUAACCCCAGGCGUUUCCUGGUACCU